UACAGAGGUGCCAAGCGUUAGGCGGAAUCACUGGGCUUAAAGCGCGUGUAGGUGGGUCGUUAAGUGUCCGCGUGAAAUCCCACGGCUCACCCGUGGAACUGCUGGGCAUACUGGCGAUCUUGGGCCAACUAGGGGCAGCCGGAACAAGCGGUGGAGCGGUGAAAUGCGUAGAUAUCGCUUGGAACGCCGAAGGUGAAAACAGGCUGCUGGGGUUGCGCCGACGCUGAGACACGAAAGCCAGGGGGGCAAACGGG
This 254-nucleotide ribosomal RNA is filed under the name uncultured bacterium. RNAcentral's name for it is "partial 16S ribosomal RNA". It matches the Rfam family "Bacterial small subunit ribosomal RNA", at positions 524 to 776 of the family's 1533-position model. The record is from RNAcentral.